This 516-nucleotide ribosomal RNA is filed under the name Naganishia albidosimilis. RNAcentral's name for it is "LSU rRNA". It matches the Rfam family "Eukaryotic large subunit ribosomal RNA", at positions 95 to 614 of the family's 3401-position model. The record is from RNAcentral. Lineage: Eukaryota; Fungi; Basidiomycota; Tremellomycetes; Filobasidiales; Filobasidiaceae.
GAAGCGGGAAGAGCUCAAAUUUGAAAUCUGGUAGCCUUCGGUUGCCCGAGUUGUAAUCUAGAGAAAUGUUUUCCGUGCCGGCCCAUGUACAAGUCCCUUGGAACAGGGCGUCAUAGAGGGUGAGAAUCCCGUCCUUGACAUGGACCCCCGGUGCUUUGUGAUACAUUUUCAACGAGUCGAGUUGUUUGGGAAUGCAGCUCAAAAUGGGUGGUGAAUUCCAUCUAAAGCUAAAUAUUGGCGAGAGACCGAUAGCGAACAAGUACCGUGAGGGAAAGAUGAAAAGCACUUUGGAAAGAGAGUUAAACAGUACGUGAAAUUGUUGAAAGGGAAACGAUUGAAGUCAGUUAUGCUCUUUGGUAUUUAUAUCAUUGAGUGGGGUCAACAUCAGUUUUGAUCGAUGGAUAAAGGCACUAGGAAUGUAGCACUCUCGGGUGAACUUAUAGCCUAGCGUCAUAUACAUUGAUUGGGACUGAGGAACGCAGCAUGCCUUUAUGGCCGGGAUUCGUCCACGUACAU